UGGGGAAUAUUGCACAAUGGGCGCAAGCCUGAUGCAGCCAUGCCGCGUGUGUGAAGAAGGCCUUCGGGUUGUAAAGUACUUUCAGCGGGGAGGAAGGGAGUAAAGUUAAUACCUUUGCUCAUUGACGUUACCCGCAGAAGAAGCACCGGCUAACUCCGUGCCAGCAGCCGCGGUAAUACGGAGGGUGCAAGCGUUAAUCGGAAUUACUGGGCGUAAAGCGCACGCAGGCGGUUUGUUAAGUCAGAUGUGAAAUCCCCGGGCUCAACCUGGGAACUGCAUCUGAUACUGGCAAGCUUGAGUCUCGUAGAGGGGGGUAGAAUUCCAGGUGUAGCGGUGAGAUGCGUAGAGAUCUGGAGGAAUACCGGUGGCGAAGGCGGCCCCCUGGACGAAGACUGACGCUCAGGUGCGAAAGCGUGGGGAGCAAACAGG
RNAcentral lists this ribosomal RNA (429 nucleotides) under Chloroflexota bacterium. RNAcentral describes it as "Chloroflexi bacterium partial 16S ribosomal RNA". It matches the Rfam family "Bacterial small subunit ribosomal RNA", at positions 355 to 776 of the family's 1533-position model. The record is from RNAcentral. Lineage: Bacteria; Bacillati; Chloroflexota.